Molecule: long non-coding RNA, 257 nt
Organism: Neltuma alba
Lineage: Eukaryota; Viridiplantae; Streptophyta; Magnoliopsida; Fabales; Fabaceae
Exons: 3
Source: RefSeq, a predicted model, not a curated record
UGUCUCUGUCGCGCCCCUCCUUUGCUCCUUCGGUUUCUCCAGCGACUUCGGUCGGAUCAAAUGCAAAGGACAAAGUUCAGAGCAAACCUGGCAAUAUUGUAUUAGAGGGGAAUAAAGAGAGAAUAAAGAAGAUGUUUGAUAAGGUUGAAUUGUCUGCAUCUUCUUAUGACACAGCUUGGGUGGCAAUGAUACCAUCACCUUCUUCUCCAGAAAAUCCUUUGUUCCCUCAAACCCUAAAUUGGUUAUUAGAAAACCAA